UUAGGUUUUGGGGCUAGGGGAAGGUUUAAGGUUUUUGGCGUUAGGGUUAAAAUGACUGUCCAAAACCUAUUUAGGAACAUGUUUCAGACCUUUUGGAGUUGGUUACACCAAAUAAAAAAAAAAAUAAAAAAAAAAUAUUUGGGGUGUUCGGGCUUCCUGAAGGUAAUACCCGGGUAUUAGUUUUGGGGCUAUGGUAAGGUUUAAGGUUUUUGGCGUUAGGGUUAAAAUCACUGUCCAAAACCUUUGUAGGAACUCUUUUCCAACCUUUUGGAGUUAGUUAGACCAAAUAAAAAUGAAAAAUGAAAAAAAAAAUAUUUGGGGUGUUUGGGCUUCCUGAAGGUAAUACCCGGGUAUUAAGAGUUGGGGCUAGGGUAAGGUUUAAGGUUUUGGCGUUAGGGUUUAAAUCACUGUCCAAAACCUUUGUAGGAACUGUUUUCCAACCUUUUGGAGUUAGUUAGACCAAAUAAAAAUUAAAAAUGAAAAAAUAUAUAUUUGGCUAGUUUUGGCUUCCUGAAGAUA
Molecule: non-coding RNA, 519 nt
Organism: Xyrichtys novacula (pearly razorfish)
Lineage: Eukaryota; Metazoa; Chordata; Actinopteri; Labriformes; Labridae
Source: the annotation of a GenBank genome assembly